This 921-nucleotide ribosomal RNA is filed under the name uncultured bacterium. Its description in RNAcentral is "bacterial SSU rRNA". It matches the Rfam family "Bacterial small subunit ribosomal RNA", at positions 475 to 1401 of the family's 1533-position model. The record is from RNAcentral.
GUACCUGACUAAGAAGCCCCGGCUAACUACGUGCCAGCAGCCGCGGUAAUACGUAGGGGGCAAGCGUUAUCCGGAUUUACUGGGUGUAAAGGGAGCGUAGACGGUGUGGCAAGUCUGAUGUGAAAGUUUACGGCUCAACCGUAAAAUUGCAGUUGAUACUGGCGACCUUGAGUGCAACAGAGGUAGGCGGAAUUCGUGGUGUAGCGGUGAAAUGCUUAGAUAUCACGAAGAACUCCGAUUGCGAAGGCAGCUUACUGGAUUGUAACUGACGCUGAUGCUCGAAAGUGUGGGUAUCAAACAGGAUUAGAUACCCUGGUAGUCCACACAGUAAACGAUGAAUACUCGCUGUUGGCGAUAUACAGUCAGCGGCCAAGCGAAAGCAUUAAGUAUUCCACCUGGGGAGUACGCCGGCAACGGUGAAACUCAAAGGAAUUGACGGGGGCCCGCACAAGCGGAGGAACAUGUGGUUUAAUUCGAUGAUACGCGAGGAACCUUACCCGGGCUUAAAUUGCAACUGACGGAACCGGAAACGGUUCUUUCUUCGGACAGUUGUGAAGGUGCUGCAUGGUUGUCGUCAGCUCGUGCCGUGAGGUGUCGGCUUAAGUGCCAUAACGAGCGCAACCCUUAUCGAUAGUUACUAGCAGGUUAUGCUGAGGACUCUAUUGAGACUGCCGUCGUAAGAUGUGAGGAAGGUGGGGAUGACGUCAAAUCAGCACGGCCCUUACGUCCGGGGCUACACACGUGUUACAAUGGGGGGUACAGAAGGCAGCUACACGGCGACGUGGUGCUAAUCCCGAAAGCCUCUCUUAGUUCGGAUUGGAGUCUGCAACCCGACUCCAUGAAGCUGGAUUCGCUAGUAAUCGCGCAUCAGCCAUGGCGCGGUGAAUACGUUCCCGGGCCUUGCACACACCGCCCGUCAAG